RNAcentral lists this ribosomal RNA (465 nucleotides) under Vreelandella stevensii. Its description in RNAcentral is "partial 16S ribosomal RNA". It matches the Rfam family "Bacterial small subunit ribosomal RNA", at positions 338 to 795 of the family's 1533-position model. The record is from RNAcentral. Lineage: Bacteria; Pseudomonadati; Pseudomonadota; Gammaproteobacteria; Oceanospirillales; Halomonadaceae.
CCUACGGGUGGCUGCAGUGGGGAAUAUUGGACAAUGGGGGCAACCCUGAUCCAGCCAUGCCGCGUGUGUGAAGAAGGCCCUCGGGUUGUAAAGCACUUUCAGUGAGGAAGAACGCCUGGUGGUUAAUACCCAUCAGGAAAGACAUCACUCACAGAAGAAGCACCGGCUAACUCCGUGCCAGCAGCCGCGGUAAUACGGAGGGUGCGAGCGUUAAUCGGAAUUACUGGGCGUAAAGCGCGCGUAGGUGGCUUGAUAAGCCGGUUGUGAAAGCCCCGGGCUCAACCUGGGAACGGCAUCCGGAACUGUCAAGCUAGAGUGCAGGAGAGGAAGGUAGAAUUCCUGGUGUAGCGGUGAAAUGCGUAGAGAUCGGGAGGAAUACCAGUGGCGAAGGUGGCCUUCUGGACUGACACUGACACUGAGGUGCGAAAGCGUGGGUAGCAAACAGGAUUAGAUACCCUGGUAGUC